This 346-nucleotide unclassified non-coding RNA is filed under the name soil metagenome. RNAcentral describes it as "partial contains 5.8S ribosomal RNA, internal transcribed spacer 2, and large subunit ribosomal RNA". The stretch from base 3 to 120 matches the Rfam family "5.8S ribosomal RNA", at positions 37 to 154 of the family's 154-position model. The record is from RNAcentral.
GGUGAAGAACGUAGCGAAAUGCGAUACGUAAUGUGAAUUGCAGAAUUCAGUGAAUCAUCGAGUCUUUGAACGCACAUUGCGCCCCCUGGUAUUCCGGGGGGCAUGCCUGUCCGAGCGUCAUUGCUGCCCUCAAGCCCGGCUUGUGUGUUGGGUCUCGUCCCCCUUCCCGGGGGGACGGGCCCGAAAGGCAGCGGCGGCACCGCGUCCGGUCCUCGAGCGUAUGGGGCUUUGUCACCCGCUCCGUAGGCCCGGCCGGCGCUUGCCGAUCAACCAAAACUUUUUUCCAGGUUGACCUCGGAUCAGGUAGGGAUACCCGCUGAACUUAAGCAUAUCAAUAAGCGGAGGA